RNAcentral lists this long non-coding RNA (1005 nucleotides) under Salmo salar (Atlantic salmon). RNAcentral's name for it is "lncRNA (ENSSSAG00000110361.1, ENSSSAG00020067144.1, ENSSSAG00075044427.1)". The record is from RNAcentral. Lineage: Eukaryota; Metazoa; Chordata; Actinopteri; Salmoniformes; Salmonidae.
UUGAGCAUUUCGUUCUAGCCUAAUUGGAGUGCCAGGUGGUCGAGGUUUGCAGUUUUGGGACUAUUCUAUUGUUCCAUUAAGCCAGGCAAGCUCAAUCAAACACAGAAAAAGUAUUUGAAGUGAUUUCAAAUCAGGGGUUGGAACCGGUUCAGGGAACAGAACCAAAAAAUGGAAAAUACAUUUUUCAAGGAACAGAACCAGAACCGAGAAUGAAAGUGAUCUAUAUCGUUCUGGAGCAGAAACAUUAUUUUAAAAGCAUGGGAACAGGUAAAUACUGUUCCUUUUUUUACAGUCUCACAAAAAAACACAACAAAGCGCCUAUGCAAAGCCCUCACUGUCACUCAGAAACUUAUUCCAGUGUCUGCCUGCCUGCCUGCCCAUGUGCCUGUUUGCUUGUGUGCCCAUCUGCCUGCCUACCUAUCUGUCUGUCUGUCUGCCUGCCUGUCUGUCUGUCCAUCUGUCUGUCUGCCUGCCAGCAGAACAUCUUUGCCAGUGUGUGUGUGUGUGUGUGUGUGUGUGUGUGUGUGUGUGUGCUACUUGCCCCUCCCCCUCCCUCCGAAACGUGCAUAGUCUACUGUAGCUACUGACGUUACAGGCAUGAUUCAGAAAUUAAGGAGAUAUUUUUAAUUAGAGAACAACAAUGGACUAACUUUUUCAAUGCUAAUUAAGGAUACUAUAGUUAUCACAUUUUGCAUUGGAUAUAUUAGCUACAAAAAGGUAAGAUGUGUUUUUAUUUUCAUUCUGGUGCCGCUUUGCACGCACAAGCUUGUUAGCUUGUGUGUGCAAAGACUCUAGGCGGCAUUAUGUGUAAUGUAAUGGAACUGAGAGUCAUGAUGAAUGGCUACCACUGGUCCAAAGUUAGUUAAGCCAACUCUCUGAAGUUCAAAGACAUUUAAAGUUCCUUCAUAGAAGCCGCUCUUCUUUAGGUAUAAUUAUGUGGGCCUAAUUCAGAUAAUGCAUGUUCUGAACCUGUUCAGAACUUUGACACAAUACCUGUUAGCAAAG